CACCACCCCCGCUUCCCCUCCCUCACUCUGUCUGUCCAGAUCUGCUUGUAUGGUUGGUUUUGCUGUUAGAUGCGCGCGUCGUUGACCCGUCGCUUGUCGCGAGGUUUUUGCUCGGAUAGAUCCGCUGAGUAUGCUUGAACGAAAUACGAUGAGGUUUUUGUCGUUGACCCGUCGCUUGGUGCGAGUUGUUCUGCUUCGGUAGAUCUGCCGAGUAUGUUUCGGCGGUUAGGAUGUGUGUACGGUCGUAUAUGUGCUAUACUUAUACGCUGGAGGCGAACCAUGCUACUUUUUUGGUGAUUUUAAGCUGCAUCUCGUGGCUUUAUGCGGCUAACCGGUUAGAUCUGUGAUGUGGUUUGGUCAUGUAUAAUUUUAUAUGCCUGCUAACUUUCUUGGAUCUACUUUUGAAGCUUGUGUCCAGCUUCACUUAUUGUGAUUGUUUCAGGGUCCUCAGCUGUGGUCCGUUUAGAUCCAUAUAUAGCUGCAGGAUCCUUGCUUCUAUUUUGCACUUCAUAUUGUGGACAAAAUAUCUUUUACUUAAGUCCUGUAAUUUUUUUAAUGGAACUAAAUAUCCACAGUACUACACUUCAGUGUGUGCUAGCAAUUUUUUUAACUAAGGUAGUUGUCAUCAUUUCAUUGCCAACUGCUGUUAUUAUUUUGCACACUUAUUUUCAAAAUUUUGCAAGGAUCAUUUAUGCUAACUUUUUUGGAUCUACUUUUGGAUCUUGUAUCUAGUUGUUCCUUUUAUUACGAAUGUUUUUCAUGGUCCUCAUUUAGAUCCAUACGUAGCUGUAGGAUUAUUAGUUUGGCUUAAUAGUAUGUAUUUAUUUCAUGGGUCAUACAUUAAUUAUUAGAGAAAUCACACUGUAAUUGUUCUCUGUUUGAGUCAAUGAGUAUGGCAUUUUGUGCCCCGUUUUAAAAAAAAAAUAUUGAUAGGUUGUCUCAGCUUAUUGUCUGAUUACUUGAUAUGAAGCUAUAUCUUAUUUCUAAAAAUCCAAGUUAAAGUCACGUUUUUGUUCAACAUUUAAAUAUUGUUUCUAUCUUGGUCGUCCGGAACAUUUGCCCUGUUAUGUAAGCCUUUAAGAAUUUAGUUAGCAUGUUGUGUGCACUUUUUUUUGGCAGCUACUUGCACCACUAAUAACCAAUUAAAUUGAGAUACUUUUUGGCACACGUAUUUGUAACUCAAUGUUAUAGAUGUUAAAUUGGUCAUCAUUUAUUGCUCUUCUGGAUUAAUCCUUCUUUGUCUUCAUUAUUCUGCAUCCAUUCUAUAGAAGAAUUGUUUUGUGUUCUGUGUGAACGAGUGCUGACAUUUCUGAGCCGUUAGGAAGCAUGCUAACUCAAUACUGAAUUAGUAUUUAGUUUACUUGUAUAGAUCCUGAAUCCUGUAAAUUAUGAAGUUCCACCCAAUACUACUGCUUAUAGCUGCCAUAUAUAUACCUAGCGUUUUAUUACUGUUUUAUUAUUAUCAUAUUGUACCUGGGUGCAAUUAUGUGCAAGUUAUAUGUGGUCACUGGAUUGCAUGUAACUCUGUACAUGCUUCCACUUGUGAACCAAGUACAAGUAAGGUUCACGUAGCUUCUUGAACCUUAGGGAAAAGCCGCAUAACACCAUUAACUUGAAAACCACUUAUCUUAUCCCAGAACUGCUCCUACCACAAUAUAAGGGGUAAAAAAUGGUUUUUAGUUUGUGAGGUCAUGUGGAUUUUUCACCAAGAUUCAAGUGGUUAUCUGGAUCUUUUGACUUAAGUGCAUAUGAACCAUGUACAUGCUUUCAUUUACUUUUCCAGUAUUGUGAUUUAUUCAAGGCCAAACAAAGACCUAUACAGAAAUAUAAAGUUUUAGGAAGGUACACAUAGCCUCUUGAAAGUUGCAUAUAACAGUUUAAUUUGGAACCACAUUUUUUAUCCCAAAGUUGCUCUGCAGAACAAUUUAAGGGGUACACUAUAUGGUUUGAGGUUGUGGUUAUUCAUCAAAAUUGAAGUGUUUAUCCAAAUAUUUUUGGAAGAACUUUGAAUUAUAUAUGUACAUAUGGGCUGCAAGAAUGCGUGAGACAUGCUUUCAGUUCCUUGUGCAAUAUUUUGUGACUUAUUCAUGCUAUAAUAAAGACAAGCAGGAAUAUGUAUGAGUAA
Non-coding RNA from Aegilops tauschii subsp. strangulata, 2125 nucleotides. The record is from RefSeq and is a predicted model, not a curated record. Lineage: Eukaryota; Viridiplantae; Streptophyta; Magnoliopsida; Poales; Poaceae.